Molecule: microRNA precursor, 76 nt
Filed under: Myotis brandtii (Brandt's bat)
Lineage: Eukaryota; Metazoa; Chordata; Mammalia; Chiroptera; Vespertilionidae
Description: mir-9229 microRNA precursor family
Rfam family: mir-9229 microRNA precursor family
Source: Rfam by way of RNAcentral
GAGUCAUCCUUAUGGAGUAGGACUUGCUUCAGUGGGGGCUUUGGUGCCACUGAGUCUGCCCCUUGAGUGUGUCGCU